UUCAUUUACGUAUGAGUUGGUCUCUAAUAACGCAUAUAACCUCUUAAAUCACUUUAUUUAAAACUCAAUAACAUUACUUUUGUUUUGUGUCACACCAUAUGACCAGUUUUGAUUCGGUAUUCAAGAACAUAUUGAUCUGGGUAUCAAUAUCAUAUUGACUGGUGAUUAUGCAUCUACGGCUCCAUGAGUUGGCUUUGUCCAUUAGAGGGUGCGUCUUGCAUGCCGAUCACUACAGUUAUUUGUACUUCCAGCAUUGGUGAGUUCAAAAGGCGCCUUCAACAUGUUUAUGCCUUCCAUG
This is a long non-coding RNA of Helianthus annuus (common sunflower), 298 nucleotides long. RefSeq lists it as uncharacterized. The record is from RefSeq and is a predicted model, not a curated record. The transcript is spliced from 2 exons. Lineage: Eukaryota; Viridiplantae; Streptophyta; Magnoliopsida; Asterales; Asteraceae.